Unclassified non-coding RNA from Apteryx haastii (Great spotted kiwi), 175 nucleotides. The record is from Ensembl. Lineage: Eukaryota; Metazoa; Chordata; Aves; Apterygiformes; Apterygidae.
UAGUAUCUCCUGAGACUGAAGUCUUCUGUUUUUCCACAGAACAGGUGCUUUUCAGCAGCAGUGCUGUGCAUUUCUCCACCCUCCACCUGUUGGGCCUCAGGUGUGUUCAGGAGAGGUUGUGUCAUGGGCUAGAGGACAAGUUUAGUCCCCAUGCCUGACACUAUGUUAGGCCACA